Molecule: long non-coding RNA, 1186 nt
Filed under: Malus domestica (apple)
Lineage: Eukaryota; Viridiplantae; Streptophyta; Magnoliopsida; Rosales; Rosaceae
Description: long non-coding RNA (MDOM_LNC012179)
Source: RNAcentral
UAGCUAUACAUUAAGACAUGUAGAUAGUUUAAACAUAGUGAUUAAUAAUUCAAAGGAAGCAUGCAUAAUUUCAUAAGUACAUUGACAAUGAACUACUUAUUCAUGCUACGGCUCAUGGCCUCACCCUAGUAAAAAAAAAUUAGUUAUCCAUAAUCAUAAUUGAAAAUCAAAAUAUUAUUAAGUAGAAAAAUUAGAAAACACAGUUGUAGUAAAGUCGAAAAUCACCAAAAGUUCCUCAGCUGAAUUCUCUAAGACAAAACGUUGUCCCCUUUAAGGGCUCCAAAAUCAACAUGUAAAUAAACCUAGAAAUCUGAGGCCUACAUAAAAUAAGUCUCCCAACAAAUCUGGAAUCCCAAUUGAAAUACUAGGAAACACAAUUCCAAUUGAAAUACUAGGAAACACAAUCAUAUUCUAACUUGGACAAUCUCGACUUGAACAUGCCCUCACUCGACUUAAACGAGGGAUGACAAAUCUAGGUCCAAAUAUUGCCCCUAGUCUCAUGAGCCUCAGCCUAGACGUCGAGUGGUUGUGAGAAUAAAAAUAUCUCAUGUUUGGAUGUUGGAUUGAACACCGCUCCGCCAAAGGGUGAGUUCAUCCAAGCGCAUGAAUAUAUGAUCAAAAACCUGUGAAUCUCCUUCUACCUGAGCACAAUUGAUACGCAGUCCGACUGGGAGAGUCGUAAUGCUCAGAGAAGCCGUUGUUAUAAACUUGCGGCUUCUACUUACACGUAAGAGAACAUCUCUGUAGCUAUAGUCUGACCGUACAUAUUCUUUCCAAAACUUAUCUUUAAUGCCUUUUAGUGGUGGAACGUGAUGCAGUGAUACCCAAAUGGCACCCAAGCCGUAUAGCUCAUCAUGACCCCACUCACACGUGUGCUAAAUGUUUCAUACGUGUGACAAUCAGAUACCGUAUAGGCUUUACAAACUACAAGGCUUAUUUUUAGUUGUGUCCGUGAAACUUUAUUUUAAUUUUAUUUGCCUAAUGUAACUCAACAGUCAUAACUUUACUUUUUGAAACUCAAAAUUUGUUCCAUUUUGACUUGUGGACUCUCUCUUCGCCCUAAAACUUAUAGGCCACUUCCUUAAACAUAUGUGAGACCCAAUACCCAAUAAGAUUAUGUCCAAUAAAGUUGAUUAUAAAUCUUCAUUAUGCGUUAACAUUCAAGAGAUUAUUCAGUUUAAAAGAA